CCUGGCGGCCAUAGCGCCGUGGAACCACCUGAUCCCAUGCCGAACUCAGAAGUGAAACGCGGUAGCGCCGAUGGUAGUGUGGCAUUCGCC
This 90-nucleotide ribosomal RNA is filed under the name Aeromonas salmonicida. The record is from RNAcentral. Lineage: Bacteria; Pseudomonadati; Pseudomonadota; Gammaproteobacteria; Aeromonadales; Aeromonadaceae. RNAcentral also lists the same sequence under 2 other names.